UCUGAAUCUGCGUACGGCUCCGCAAACCAGUUGUAAACUAUAGCAAGCAUGCUCGGGAUUUGGCCCUCACGGGUUGGGUUUCGGGUGAUAAGGAUAACCCUGGUAAUUCUGAGGCUAAUACUAGAACGCAAAAACUUGACUGACCGGUUUUACUGGGAGGUUGGGGGGCGUGCAAGUGGGUUUCGCAUAGGAUAACCGGGAAGGGGUGCACGUUUGGACCGCGAUAAAGACAGACUGGUUUCGGCCGGCCUGAGCGGCACUUGCGUUGUGCUUCUGACCUAUCAACUAGAUGGCAGCGUAACGGACAUGAAUAUGGU
RNAcentral lists this ribosomal RNA (317 nucleotides) under Diderma alpinum. RNAcentral describes it as "bacterial SSU rRNA". It matches the Rfam family "Eukaryotic small subunit ribosomal RNA", at positions 80 to 350 of the family's 1831-position model. The record is from RNAcentral. Lineage: Eukaryota; Evosea; Eumycetozoa; Physariida; Didymiaceae.